Molecule: ribosomal RNA, 207 nt
Filed under: uncultured bacterium
Lineage: Bacteria
Description: partial 16S ribosomal RNA
Rfam family: Bacterial small subunit ribosomal RNA
Source: RNAcentral
GACGUAGGCGGCUAGAUUAGUGGGGCGUGAAAUGUCUCGGCUCAACCGAGGACCUGCGCUUCAAACUGUCUGGCUUGAGUCCGGGAGGGGAGACGGGAAUUCCUGGUGUAGCGGUGAAAUGCGCAGAUAUCAGGAGGAACACCGGUGGCGAAGGCGCGUCUCUGGACCGGUACUGACGCUGAUGUCCGAAAGCGUGGGGAGCAAACA